AGUAGGAUGGCAGCUUUGGGAAAGAGACGUGAGAGUGAGUGUGCAGAGAGCUUGGGCUGAGUGCAAGAGAUAAGUGGGAUGCAUCGUGUCUUAGAGGCAAUCAAGCAAGAGAGGAUGGGGUGGCAGACGCUUCAACUCUCUAGCCCCUCCUUCCAGGGCAGAGCCAUUUUAGAGACCCACGCCUUUUCCCAUCCAUAGGCUGCUGAAGCCAGAAACAGCCCAGCACUUAAGAGGGGAGCAGACAAUUACAUCACCGGUCUGGGCAGUAUCUUCUCAGCCUAAACCAUUAUUUCCUCCCUUCUUUUAACAAAGACUCCUAGUUUCCCCACCCAAUAUCCAGGCUCCAUUUUCUUCCUAACUGAAUGUUGACUUCUUCCCCCUGGGGAACAAGAUAUCAAGGAAAAUGAUGCACCUUGUUUGCCUCCCUUGCAAGUGGGCCUGGCUCAUCCAUCAGAGGUGAGCAGACGUCAUCAGGUGGAACUUCCAGGCAAGUCCUUCAAUGAAGCUGACUCAGCUGGGGGAUGCUUUUUCUCUUUCUUCUUCUUUCUGCCUAAUAUGUGGACAUCUGUUCGGAUCUUGAGGCAAAUUCGAUGACAGAAUCACAUCCUAGAGAGGUAAUAAAGCAGACAUUUAGGAGGACACUGGUACCUGAUGACUGCUAUACCUGCCUACGACUGGAUUUCAGUAUGGAGAAACCUGAAGACCAAAAUUUAUACCACCCCUAAGGAGAGCAGCCAUCUUCCUCCCUGUCCUGAGCAGGAAUAAACAAAGACUGAACAAACCCUUGCAGCGGGGCGGGUGGCGGGAGAUGUUUCCAAGCUUUACUCAAAGAAAACGGUGAUGCCUAUGUACAUGUAAGUGAUUUGCCACCUGUGCAAAAGUCUGCACGAUAGCCCUGGGGGAGAGUUCCUGAGACACCCGAGCUCGAGUCUGCAACCCUCAUCUCCUUUCUGUGCCGACUCAGGAAGAAAAUAAGCCCCAGCAGGAAACUCACCCUUUGAAAUGUCAGAGUCCACGAAGUAAGGGCGAGGUGCCCUAAAGCAUCCAAAUGGCAUCUCCUGCCCCAAGAACUUAUCCAAGCCCUCAUCCUGACACUGGGGAGGCUGAGUUACCUCGGUAGGUGCUCCCCGCAAGUGGGAGACAAGCAGCGGUCAUUGGUUUUCAUUUGCUGAAAUCAGCAACUUAAUCCUAACUUAACCAGAGCCUGAAUCUCCCCCUUCCAAGGCAAGGCCUUCCCUGGGAAUGAUUGAAUUUCGCAGGGUGCAAUAAAACAAAGGGCUUCUGCUGAAUCAGGCGCCAGACUCAUAAGCCUGUAAAUCUCCCGCUUACUCUUCAAGGCGGGGAUGUUAUCUCCACCCCAGCCAUCCCCGUCAUGUCAUGGCGCCUGCUGUUUCCACAACCUCUCCUGCUAAGAAGGUGACCCUAG
This 1426-nucleotide long non-coding RNA is filed under the name Papio anubis (olive baboon). Its description in RNAcentral is "lncRNA (ENSPANG00000041933.1)". Lineage: Eukaryota; Metazoa; Chordata; Mammalia; Primates; Cercopithecidae. The record is from RNAcentral.